ACGGAAGGCAGCAGUGGGGGAUAUUGCACAAUGGGGGAAACCCUGAUGCAGCGACGCCGCGUGAGUGAAGAAGUAUUUCGGUACGUAAAGCUCUAUCAGCAGGGAAGAAAAUGACGGUACCUGACUAAGAAGCACCGGCUAAAUACGUGCCAGCAGCCGCGGUAAUACGUAUGGUGCAAGCGUUAUCCGGAUUUACUGGGUGUAAAGGGAGCGUAGACGGAUGGCUAAGUCUGAUGUGAAAGGUGAGGGCUCAACCCUUAAACUGCAUUGGAAACUGGUCAUCUAGAGUGUCGGAGAGGUAAGUGGAAUUCCUAGUGUAGCGGUGAAAUGCGUAGAUAUUAGGAGGAACACCAGUGGCGAAGGCGGCUUACUGGACGAUAACUGACGUUGAGGCUCGAAAGCGUGGGGAGCAAACAGGAUUAGAUACCCUGGUA
Molecule: ribosomal RNA, 434 nt
Filed under: uncultured Lachnospiraceae bacterium
Lineage: Bacteria; Bacillati; Bacillota; Clostridia; Lachnospirales; Lachnospiraceae
Description: partial 16S ribosomal RNA
Rfam family: Bacterial small subunit ribosomal RNA
Source: RNAcentral